This is a long non-coding RNA of Manacus vitellinus (golden-collared manakin), 885 nucleotides long. RefSeq lists it as uncharacterized. The record is from RefSeq and is a predicted model, not a curated record. NCBI's taxonomy places the organism in Eukaryota, Metazoa, Chordata, Aves, Passeriformes, Pipridae. The transcript is spliced from 7 exons.
UAGCAUGUAGUGAAAGUAGCCAGGACUGCAUUCAAGGUUUUCACCUUUCAGUUCCCUGUUUGCCUCUGACAAAUACAUGGAAGCUGACUUUUCCUCUACCCCAUUGCAGCCAGCACUGCAGCUUGUGUAUGGAAGAGAGAGAUGCUGUUCCUUUGCAGGAGAUGCUGAGGCUGUGCACAGAUGAUCAAGAGGGACAAGAGACACAGGAGACUGGCUUAAGGGUAUUCAGAUCACAAAGCUUUUUGAUGAAGAGAACAUGCAGCUGGCUGUUCCAGAAAAAUAAACACCACUUGUAAAUAUCUAGCCCUCUUGCCAUCUCUGAAGAAUUUCUGCCAGCUGAUUUACAGUUUGCCUCUACAUUAUGAAGACUACUGUGAGAAGAGUUUUAGUUUUGCUGUGAGAAUUCAUCUACUUCUGCCCCUCUUUCCUCAUCUGAAGUCAGUGAAGUGACGGUUCAGACUUGUCCGAUUACUUAAUCCAAAACUGCAUCCUACUCUCAGCUAGUGCCGAGGUGAUCCAGCAGGCAAGAGCUUACUAUCAGCCAUGGGAAUUUACAAGCUUUCCAACAAGACUGAAGAAGUCCAGGAAACCACAAUGACAGAUCCACUUGAAACAACCAUUUCAUACCUUGGAAAAUGGUAAUGGGAGGAAGUGAUCUCCUGAUCUCCAGCUGUGGUUCUGUGUGCUGCUCUGAUCCCACCGAUGACUGGAUUUGAGAGUAAAGCACGGUUGGUUCUGCCUCUGCCCUGUGUCGGAUUUCACCCUUCUGCCCUUGCUCUGAAGAUUGAAAUAUCUGAGGACCCUUCUGCUCUCAGGUAAAAUUUUCACUGGGUUUGUGCUUCCCAUGCCUCUGUGAAAGUGCUGAAAACUCUACAGCUGGCUUUG